GGAUCGGUAGCUCAGUGGUAGAGCGUGGGAUUGCAGUCUCCCAACAGCAGUUAUCCUAAGGUCUCGUGUUCGACCCACGAUCGGUCCU
Molecule: transfer RNA, 88 nt
Filed under: Coniochaeta pulveracea
Lineage: Eukaryota; Fungi; Ascomycota; Sordariomycetes; Coniochaetales; Coniochaetaceae
Rfam family: tRNA
About the family: Transfer RNA (tRNA) molecules are approximately 80 nucleotides in length.
Source: Rfam by way of RNAcentral